RNAcentral lists this long non-coding RNA (366 nucleotides) under Mytilus galloprovincialis (Mediterranean mussel). The record is from RNAcentral. Lineage: Eukaryota; Metazoa; Mollusca; Bivalvia; Mytilida; Mytilidae.
GUUUUGGGGAAUUUUUUCUUGAUUCACAUAAUGGAAGGGCAGACACGAAAAUUUCUGAACUAAAAGAUUGAUAUGUUCUCCGUCCGUGAUAAAAAAAAAUCGGAGGUUAUGCAUUUUCUACAUCCAACUUAUAGAUACUAUAUAUAAAAAAGAAGAUUUGGUAUUAUUGCCAAUGAGACAGCUAUCCAGAAAAGACCAAAAUGACACAAACAUUAACAACUAUAGGUAACCGUAAGGCCUUCAACAAUAAGCAAAGCCCAUACCGCAUAGUCAGCUAUAAAAGGCCCCGAUAAGAACCAUGUCGUCGACUUGAUAUCUUAUUGUUUUGCAUUACUAUGUAAUAGAUACAUUGAAAACUUAUGCAAA